ACGACUCUCGGCAACGGAUAUCUCGGCUCUCGCAUCGAUGAAGAACGUAGCGAAAUGCGAUACUUGGUGUGAAUUGCAGAAUCCCGUGAACCAUCGAGUCUUUGAACGCAAGUUGCGCCCCAAGCCUUUUGGCCAAGGGCACGCCUGCCUGGGUGUCA
Molecule: ribosomal RNA, 158 nt
Filed under: Ptilotrichum canescens
Lineage: Eukaryota; Viridiplantae; Streptophyta; Magnoliopsida; Brassicales; Brassicaceae
Description: Stevenia canescens 5.8S ribosomal RNA
Rfam family: 5.8S ribosomal RNA
About the family: 5.8S ribosomal RNA (5.8S rRNA) is a component of the large subunit of the eukaryotic ribosome. It is transcribed by RNA polymerase I as part of the 45S precursor that also contains 18S and 28S rRNA.
Source: RNAcentral